RNAcentral lists this transfer-messenger RNA (408 nucleotides) under Candidatus Omnitrophota. RNAcentral describes it as "JACQRF01 sp016206635 X1 Standard tmRNA". It matches the Rfam family "transfer-messenger RNA". From Rfam's summary of the family: Bacterial tmRNA, also known as 10Sa RNA or SsrA, is named for its dual tRNA and mRNA-like properties. Its role is to liberate the mRNA from a stalled ribosome. The record is from RNAcentral. Lineage: Bacteria; Pseudomonadati. RNAcentral also lists the same sequence under 1 other name.
GGGGGCGAUCGGUUUCGACUCACCGGCUGUCAUGGCCGAGGUCGCGUGCCGAGGUGGUCCGGAGGCCUCGUAAAACACCGGACACAAUGAUACGUGCCAAAACAAUGGUUAACGGGGUUGCACCGGUUGUGCCGAUUCGGCCGGCCAUGCUCCCCAUGGCACUGGCUGCCUAACUAGGCAGCCCGUCUCGCCGCGAACGCCGGCUACGCGGAUGAGGCGCCGACAGCCGGCUGGUCACCGCCUGGUAUCUCUGGGGGCUGUGGCGAGGAGACCAACCAGGGAGUAACCGGGCCGUCGGGCCUGUCCUUGGGCAUCGGCUCAGUGAGCACCACAAACAGGGACUACGCACGUAGUGGCGCGGUUGUGGGUCGUGAGGACGCGGGGUUCGAUCCCCCGCCGCCUCCACCA